Molecule: ribosomal RNA, 460 nt
Filed under: uncultured bacterium
Lineage: Bacteria
Description: partial 16S ribosomal RNA
Rfam family: Bacterial small subunit ribosomal RNA
Source: RNAcentral
CCUACGGGUGGCAGCAGUGAGGAAUAUUGGUCAAUGGGCGCGAGCCUGAACCAGCCCAGUAGCGUGAAGGAUGACUGCCCUACGGUUUGUAAACUUCUUUUAUAAAGGAAUAAAGUGAGGCGUGUGUGCCUUUUUGUAUGUACUUUAUGAAUAAGGAUCGGCUAACUGCGUGCCCGCAGCCGCGGUAAUACGGGGGAUACGAGCGUUAUCCGGAUUUAUUGGGUUUAAAGGGAACUUAGAUGGGUUGUUAAGUCAGUUGUGAAAGUUUGCGGCUCAACCGUAAAAUUGCACUUGAUACUGGCAGUCUUGAGUACAGUUGAGGUAGGCGGAAUUCGUGGUGUAGCGGUGAAAUGCUUAGAUAUCACGAAGAACUCCGAUUGCGAAGGCAGCUUACUAAACUGCCACUGACAUUGAUGCUCGAAAGUGUGGGUAUCAAACAGGAUUAGAUACCCUAGUAGUC